CCUGACCUAGGGUUUCCGGCAGUGGGCUGAUACCUGAUUAUUCCAGCCACUGCUGGUUGCUACCAUCGCCGGAAAAGAAGUGACAGUGGUGUGAAGCUAUUGGAUUCCGGCUACCACAACAUUGAAUGCCUUGGUUGUUUCCUUGAUAUCCAACUUUGAUCCGAUCAGUGAAAGGACUUUGACGCGAGACGAGUAUCUCGAUGUCGGAUUUGGACAUUCCUAUUGGAGGCGGG
This is a long non-coding RNA of Zingiber officinale, 233 nucleotides long. RefSeq lists it as uncharacterized. The record is from RefSeq and is a predicted model, not a curated record. NCBI's taxonomy places the organism in Eukaryota, Viridiplantae, Streptophyta, Magnoliopsida, Zingiberales, Zingiberaceae. The transcript is spliced from 3 exons.